UACGUAGGGUGCGAGCGUUAAUCGGAAUUACUGGGCGUAAAGCGUGCGCAGGCGGUUCUCUAAGACCGAUGUUAAAUCCCCGGGCUUAACCUGGGAACUGCAUUGGUGACUGGCGGGCUAGAGUAUGGCAGAGGGGGGUAGAAUUCCACGUGUAGCAGUGAAAUGCGUAGAGAUGUGGAGGAAUACCGAUGGCGAAGGCAGCCCCCUGGGCCAAUACUGACGCUCAUGCACGAAAGCGUGGGGAGCAAACCGG
RNAcentral lists this ribosomal RNA (253 nucleotides) under uncultured bacterium. Its description in RNAcentral is "partial 16S ribosomal RNA". It matches the Rfam family "Bacterial small subunit ribosomal RNA", at positions 524 to 776 of the family's 1533-position model. The record is from RNAcentral.